RNAcentral lists this ribosomal RNA (536 nucleotides) under Sipunculus nudus (marine worm). RNAcentral describes it as "partial 16S ribosomal RNA". It matches the Rfam family "Bacterial large subunit ribosomal RNA", at positions 1797 to 2620 of the family's 2925-position model. Lineage: Eukaryota; Metazoa; Annelida; Sipuncula; Golfingiida; Sipunculidae. The record is from RNAcentral.
CGCCUGUUUAUCAAAAACAUCGCCUUUUGCCUUUCAAUAAAAUAAAGGUACAACCUGCCCAGUGAGACAUUUCAACGGCCGCGGUACCCUGACCGUGCUAAGGUAGCAGCAAUCACUUGCCCUUUAAUUGGGGGCUAGUAUGAAUGGUCAAACGAGGGUGAACCUGUCUCAUUAAGGCCUUACCAAAAAUUAUCCUCCACGUGAAGAGACCUGGAUAUAAUAAAAAGACGAGAAGACCCUGUCAAGCUUUACACUGCCCGGGCCUAUCAAUUACUAGCCCAGCCACGUGUUUUGUUGGGGCAACACAGGAACACACGCUUCCUCACUAUAACUUCAACUUCACUAAACAAUCCGACAGCGUCGAAUAAAGACAAAGCUACUGCAGGGAUAACAGGCUAAUCUGCUUCGAGAGCCCACAUUGACAAGCAGGCUUGGCACCUCGAUGUUGGCUUAAGAACCCUUAUUGGGGCAGCCCCCAAUAGAAGGAGGUUUGUUCAACCUAUAAUUUCUUACGUGAUCUGAGUUUCCAGACCGGA